Molecule: ribosomal RNA, 465 nt
Filed under: uncultured bacterium
Lineage: Bacteria
Description: partial 16S ribosomal RNA
Rfam family: Bacterial small subunit ribosomal RNA
Source: RNAcentral
GACGAACGCUGGCGGCGUGCUUAACACAUGCAAGUCGAACGGAAAGGCCCCUUUGGGGGUACUCGAGUGGCGAACGGGUGAGUAACACGUGAGUAACCUGCCCUUGACUUCGGGAUAACUUCAGGAAACUGGGGCUAAUACCGGAUAGGAAUCCUUGCUGCAUGGUGGGGGUUGGAAAGCUUCGGCGGUUUUGGAUGGACUCGCGGCUUAUCAGCUUGUUGGUGGGGUAGUGGCUUACCAAGGCUUUGACGGGUAGCCGGCCUGAGAGGGCGACCGGCCACAUUGGGACUGAGAUACGGCCCAGACUCCUACGGGAGGCAGCAGUGGGGUAUAUUGCACAAUGGGCGGAAGCCUGAUGCAGCAACGCCGCGUGCGGGAUGACGGCCUUCGGGUUGUAAACCGCUUUCAGCAGGGGCGAAGCUUGUGGUGACGGUACCUGCAGAAGAAGCACCGGCUAACUACGUG